RNAcentral lists this ribosomal RNA (98 nucleotides) under Danio rerio (zebrafish). Lineage: Eukaryota; Metazoa; Chordata; Actinopteri; Cypriniformes; Danionidae. The record is from RNAcentral.
CAUCACAGUCAUAUUACCCUGCAGCCCAAGAUCGUGAAGCUGAGCCUGGUCAGUACCUGGAUGGGAGACCACAUGGGAAAACUAGGUUGCUGUUGGAA